GAAAGGCCAAUCAAACUCGGAGAUAGCUGGUUCUCCCCGAAAGCUAUUUAGGUAGCGCCUCGGACGAAUACUACUGGGGGUAGAGCACUGUUAAGGCUAGGGGGUCAUCCCGACUUACCAACCCUUUGCAAACUCCGAAUACCAGUAAGUACUAUCCGGGAGACACACGGCGGGUGCUAACGUCCGUCGUGGAGAGGGAAACAACCCAGACCGCCAGCUAAGGUCCCAAAGUUAUCGCUAAGUGGGAAACGAUGUGGGAAGGCUCAGACAGCCAGGAUGUUGGCUUAGAAGCAGCCAUCAUUUAAAGAAAGCGUAAUAGCUCACUGGUCGAGUCGGCCUGCGCGGAAGAUGUAACGGGGCUAAGCGAUACACCGAAGCUGCGGCAUCAACUCUUCGGAGUUGUUGGGUAGGGGAGCGUUCUGUAAGCCGUUGAAGGUGAACUGUAAGGUUUGCUGGAGGUAUCAGAAGUGCGAAUGCUGACAUGAGUAACGAUAAAGGGGGUGAAAAACCUCCUCGCCGGAAGACCAAGGGUUCCUGUCCAACGUUAAUCGGGGCAGGGUAAGUCGACCCCUAAGGCGAGGCCGAAAGGCGUAGUCGAUGGGAAACGGGUUAAUAUUCCCGUACUGCUUAUAACUGCGAUGGGGGGACGGAGAAGGCUAGGUGAGCUUGGCGACGGUUGUCCAAGUUCAAGUGCGUAGGUGGGUGUCUUAGGUAAAUCCGGGACGCUAUUAACACUGAGACACGAUGUCGAGUCACUACGGUGAUGAAGUCAUUGAUGCCAUGCUUCCGGGAAAAGCCUCUAAGCUUCAGGUUAUAAGGAAUCGUACCCCAAACCGACACAGGUGGUCGGGUAGAGAAUACCAAGGCGCUUGAGAGAACUCGGGUGAAGGAACUAGGCAAAAUGGUACCGUAACUUCGGGAGAAGGUACGCUGCCUCCGGUGAAGUCCCUCGCGGAUGGAGCUAGAGGCAGUCGCAGAUACCAGGUGGCUGCAACUGUUUAUUAAAAACAUAGCACUGUGCAAAAUCGAAAGAUGACGUAUACGGUGUGACGCCUGCCCGGUGCCGGAAGGUUAAUUGAUGGGGUUAUCUUCGGAGAAGCUCUUGAUCGAAGCCCCGGUAAACGGCGGCCGUAACUAUAACGGUCCUAAGGUAGCGAAAUUCCUUGUCGGGUAAGUUCCGACCUGCACGAAUGGCGUAAUGAUGGCCACGCUGUCUCCACCCGAGACUCAGUGAAAUUGAAAUCGCAGUGAAGAUGCUGUGUACCCGCGGCUAGACGGAAAGACCCCGUGAACCUUUACUACAGCUUGGCACUGAACAUUGACCCUACAUGUGUAGGAUAGGUGGGAGCCUUUGAAGCAUCGUCGCUAGAUGUGUGGAGGCAAUCUUGAAAUACCACCCUUGUAUGCUUGAUGUUCUAACGUUGGCCCCUUAUCGGGGUUGCGGACAGUGCCUGGUGGGUAGUUUGACUGGGGCGGUCUCCUCCCAAAGAGUAACGGAGGAGCACGAAGGUGGGCUAAUCACGGUCGGACAUCGUGAGGUUAGUGCAAUGGCAUAAGCCCGCUUGACUGCGAGAAUGACAAUUCGAGCAGGUACGAAAGUAGGUCAUAGUGAUCCGGUGGUUCUGAAUGGAAGGGCCAUCGCUCAACGGAUAAAAGGUACUCCGGGGAUAACAGGCUGAUACCGCCCAAGAGUUCAUAUCGACGGCGGUGUUUGGCACCUCGAUGUCGGCUCAUCACAUCCUGGGGCUGAAGUCGGUCCCAAGGGUAUGGCUGUUCGCCAUUUAAAGUGGUACGCGAGCUGGGUUUAGAACGUCGUGAGACAGUUCGGUCCCUAUCUGCCGUGGGCGUUGGAUGAUUGAGAGGGGCUGCUCCUAGUACGAGAGGACCGGAGUGGACGAACCUCUGGUGUUCGGGUUGUCACGCCAGUGGCAUUGCCCGGUAGCUAAGUUCGGAAUUGAUAAGCGCUGAAAGCAUCUAAGCGCGAAGCGAGCCUCGAGAUGAGUCAUCCCUGACACUAUAAGUGUCCUAAAGGGUUGUUGGAGACUACGACGUAGAUAGGCAGGGUGUGUAAGUGCUGCGAGGCAUUGAGCUAACCUGUACUAAUUGCCCGUGAGGCUUAACCAUACAACACCCAAGGGGUUUUAG
This 2145-nucleotide ribosomal RNA is filed under the name Enterovibrio norvegicus FF-33. Its description in RNAcentral is "bacterial LSU rRNA". It matches the Rfam family "Bacterial large subunit ribosomal RNA", at positions 823 to 2925 of the family's 2925-position model. Lineage: Bacteria; Pseudomonadati; Pseudomonadota; Gammaproteobacteria; Vibrionales; Vibrionaceae. The record is from RNAcentral.